Molecule: ribosomal RNA, 487 nt
Filed under: uncultured bacterium
Lineage: Bacteria
Description: bacterial SSU rRNA
Rfam family: Bacterial small subunit ribosomal RNA
Source: RNAcentral
GAUUAUGGCUCAGGACGAACGCUGGCGGCGUGCUUAACACAUGCAAGUCGAGCGAUGAAGCUCCUUCGGGAGUGGAUAGCGGCGGACGGGUGAGUAACACGUGGGCAACCUGCCUUGUAGAGAGGAAUAGCCAUUCGAAAGGAUGAUUAAUACCUCAUAAUAUUGUAGCUUCGCAUGAAGCAACAACCAAAGGAGCAAUCCACUACAAGAUGGGCCCGCGGCGCAUUAGCUAGUUGGUGGGGUAACGGCUCACCAAGGCGACGAUGCGUAGCCGACCUGAGAGGGUGAUCGGCCACAUUGGGACUGAGACACGGCCCAGACUCCUACGGGAGGCAGCAGGUGGGGAAUAUUGCACAAUGGGGGAAACCCUGAUGCAGCCAACGCCGCGUGAGUGAUGACGGUCUUCGGAUUGUAAAGCUCUGUCUUCAGGGACGAUAAUGACGGUACCUGAGGAGGAAGCCACGGCUAACUACGUGCCAGCCGCCGC